AUCCCAACUUCCUGUUAUCACCAAAUUCCAAGUCAAAGCAUUUUUAGCCUGUGUUUAGACACUGUAAACACAUUCUCUGAGACUCUUCCUGUGUGCCUGUGUGUCUGUCUCUCUGUGCAUCUCUGUCUCUGUCUCUGUCUCUGUCUCUGUCUCUGACUCCCUCUCUCUGUCAGGAAUAUUGCAGCAUGACUGGGAAGCCUGUCCUUCAUUACUUCAAUUGAAGAAGAAGAAUGGAGUCCAUCCGGUGGCUCCUGGCAGCAGCUGGAGUAGAGUUUGAGGAAGAACUUUUUGAAACCCAUGAAGAGUUUGAGAAGUUAAUCCAAGGUGGAACCCUGAUGUACGAGCAAGUGCCCAUGGUGGAAAUCGAUGGAAUGACUUUGGUGCAGACCAGUGCCAUCUUAAGAUAUGUAGCUGCAAAAUAUGACUUGUAUGGAAGGAACCUGGAGGAACAAGCCUGAAGAGAAGGAGAUGAACCUUGAAUACAUCCUCCACCGAGCUACAACAAGAUUCUUCCCCGUUUAUGAGAAGGCCCUGAGAGACCACGGGCAAGACUUUCUUGUGGGCAAUCGGCUGAGCUUGGCUGAUGUCCAGCUCCUUGAAGUCAUCUUAAUGGCUGAAGAAUGCAAAGCCAGUGUUCUCUCGGGUUUCCCUCUGCUACAGGACUUCAAGGUGAGAACCAGCCAAAUUCCUACAAUUAACAGCUUCCUCCAACCUGGAAGCCAGAGGAAGCCUCCUUUGGAGGAGCGAUCCAUUGGGACUGCAAAGGACAUAUUCAAAUUUGAAUGAGGACUGUUUCUUAAAAACAUGAGCAAUAUAGUAGCUGAGUAUUAACAGCUACAGAGGCUGGAGUUACUCAGUAAGUAUACUGAGUAACUUGACACUGCAUUCAUAAAAAGACACUCACUAAGUAUAUGGCCAGAGAAAUAUCCUGAAGUUAGUAAUAAAUGUUAGGAAUCUUAGUAUGUUAGCAAUGUUAGAAUGUUAGUAAUGGAAAUAUUAAAUGUGUAAGAGAAAAACUACUAGAAGCUUAUCAAUAAACUACAAGAACCAACUCUUGUUUGAAGUAAGACAGGCUACCAAGACAGAAUUCAGAAAAUCCAAGGAGCCCUCGGCCUUCUGUAUGAUCCUAGAAUAAACUUGUAUGUAGC
RNA transcript from Mus musculus (house mouse), 1148 nucleotides. It is a transcript of the gene named predicted gene 4956, with no coding region annotated. The transcript has 6 exons. NCBI's taxonomy places the organism in Eukaryota, Metazoa, Chordata, Mammalia, Rodentia, Muridae. The record is from RefSeq and is marked validated.